Molecule: non-coding RNA, 532 nt
Organism: Manis javanica (Malayan pangolin)
Lineage: Eukaryota; Metazoa; Chordata; Mammalia; Pholidota; Manidae
Source: RefSeq, a predicted model, not a curated record
CCUCCAUACGGCCGAGCCCCCGCCCGCCUCCCCACUCUCCUGAGCUCAGAGGGGCAACCGCAGCUGCAGCCAUGACGUGCCUCCUGCUCGCCCUGGGCAUGGCCCUCCUGCGUGGCACGCGGGCCGCCGACGUCCCCAGACCAUGGGGAGCCUGGACCUAACAAAGGUGGCCGGGACCUGGCACUCCAUGGCCAUGGCAGCCAGUGACAUCUCCCUCCUGGACUCUGCUAGCACCCCCCUGAGAAUGUACAUCCAGGAGCUGAGACCCACCCCCUAGGACAACCUGGAGAUCGUCACGACCCAACGGGAGAACCACCUGCGUGUGCGGAGGAGCAUCACAGCCCAGAGGACUGAGGACCCGGCAGUGUUCGUGGUAGCCUGUGAGUGCCCCACCCCACGCCUGUGGACCGCCUGGCCAGCUCCCCCUCCCCUCCUGCUGGGGCCGCCCAGCAGGGAGCUACCCCCGCUGGGCCCGCCCAGAGCCACUCCGCACUGCACCUGGCGGCAGGGGAAGGUCAGACGCUUGACUCCC